Molecule: unclassified non-coding RNA, 359 nt
Filed under: Athalia rosae (coleseed sawfly)
Lineage: Eukaryota; Metazoa; Arthropoda; Insecta; Hymenoptera; Athaliidae
Description: misc RNA ENSAEAG00005007872.1
Source: RNAcentral
GUGCGACUAUCGCAACAAUUGCUACUCUUUUCAAACAAAAUUCGAAUGACGGUGUAUUUUCCCUAAUUCCAUUUUUCCUUACAGACUAUUGUUAAAAAAAUUUGGAGAAACUUUAGCUGUCUGUGAUUUGCUCGAAGUAAGAUCACGUGGUUGACCAACAACGCCACGAGAUUUUGCGAAAGUUGAGGGUGAGAUCUGCACUUCCUUUGGUGGCACGGGCAACCAUAUUCGUGAAACCGAUACCAAGCCGCAGCAAUUUGUAAUCGUCAUCAGCAGUCAGAGGUUCGGGGGUCAGUCCACUUAGGUGAAGACAUUUCCCUAGAAUACAAGAACCAAAUUUAAUUAUUAUAAUUCUCUUA